GUAAUUUACUGGCUUCCAGUAAAUGACCGAGUAGUGAAAGCUAUGGCCAUAUUUGGUUACCCUUCAAACGAUAUAUUUGAUUAAGAUAACACAUAUUUAGCACAAUCUGUUUAAUGUUGCUUUUGGAUACACUUUAAUCCUUUGAAUUAUGACUGACUUUAUUAUAAAAUCAUUUUUACCAAGGUAAUGCUCAUAACCCUCGUCCCAUACCACCAAAAGAACCAGAAUAAGUCAGAACAAUCACCUUGAAAGCCACCAAUAUAAGACAACAAACAACGUACAAAGGCAUCAUUUACUCUUCCACCGUCUUCAGAGGCAAUAAACAGAAUCCAUACACAGUUCAGUUGUGGAUUGAAGCCAUCAGCAACACACAGCUACCAAUGGUUGAGGCUUACAUAUCUAACGCUGGAUUGUUCAUUUGGUUUAUGCCCCCAUGAAUGCCUAUCUUAUUUGCUAGUCUAUAGUCUCCUUCAGAGCAAAAAACACGAGUAUAAAAUCCUUCUCUGUUGCCUGACAAAAUCCUAACCAACAGAACAAAAAGCCUGCCACCGAGUGCCUAUCUCAAGAUGAAGCCCUGAAAUCAAGCCUAUAGAGCCACCUGAGUUUUAGAAAUGUGGCAACACAACCAUGUGAAGAAGAUUGGGUGUCUGAAGAAGUGAUGAGGAGCUUCUUGCAAAUCUUUUGUGAGGAAUUUAACCAACGAUGCAAACCUGUAAGAAAAGUGUUGUUUCUUCCUUGUCAGUCCCCCUAUGUAAUUUAGAUGAGGAUGGCAGGAGUACACAUCAUCUUAGCUGCAGUUCAUGAGACACUUUUGGAUGUCCUAACCUACAAUGAGAAGAAGAGAUACGAUGUUAAACACUACUAUGGCUUAAAAUAAUCUCUAAUCUCCCUAUAGGUGAGAUUCUCUGUAGCUACGCCUGUAUAGAUGCACAAGCAGCACAGAUUUGAGAUGCCAGGAUUUGGAAGGGCAUAAAUACAAGUACCAUCAACAUGUCUUUAACAUACAGCCUUCAGUGUUGAUACUUUGGUAUAGCUGAUGGAGAAUCAUAGAAUCAUAGAAUUUCAGGUUGGAAGGGAUCCUAAGGAUCACCUGGCCCAACCUUUCUAGGCAAUCUAGGAGGUAUCAUGCCUGGUACCACAUCGGUAUACAGCCCAAUCUCUCAUGAAACAAGCAGUGAAGAGUUCCACUGCUGUUUCUUUGCACAGUCCUGACAAUGCAUAUUCCUCUUUCAUUUUACACUGUCUUUGCACCUGACAAUAUGACAGUGGAAUUCUAGAUCUUUCAUUACCAUCCUAGAGACCAAGAUCUAAUGCACUUUAACCACACUCACAGAACCAGGCAGUUUUG
This 1348-nucleotide long non-coding RNA is filed under the name Strigops habroptila (Kakapo). Its description in RNAcentral is "lncRNA (ENSSHBG00005004368.1)". Lineage: Eukaryota; Metazoa; Chordata; Aves; Psittaciformes; Psittacidae. The record is from RNAcentral.